Molecule: ribosomal RNA, 688 nt
Filed under: uncultured Vibrionaceae bacterium
Lineage: Bacteria; Pseudomonadati; Pseudomonadota; Gammaproteobacteria; Vibrionales; Vibrionaceae
Description: bacterial SSU rRNA
Rfam family: Bacterial small subunit ribosomal RNA
Source: RNAcentral
UAGAGUUUGAUCCUGGCUCAGAUUGAACGCUGGCGGCAGGCUUAACACAUGCAAGUCGAACGGUAACAUGAACAAGCUUGCUAGUUUGAUGACGAGUGGCGGACGGGUGAGUAAUGCUUGGGAAUAUGCCUUGGAGUGGGGGACAACAGUUGGAAACGACUGCUAAUACCGCAUAAUGUGCUUUUUGUAGAGAAAAGUACCAAAGGGGGGGCUCUUCGGACCUCUCGCUCCUUGAUUAGCCCAAGUGAGAUUAGCUAGUUGGUGAGGUAAUGGCUCACCAAGGCGACGAUCUCUAGCUGGUUUGAGAGGAUGAUCAGCCACACUGGGACUGAGACACGGCCCAGACUCCUACGGGAGGCAGCAGUGGGGAAUAUUGCACAAUGGGCGAAAGCCUGAUGCAGCCAUGCCGCGUGUGUGAAGAAGGCCUUCGGGUUGUAAAGCACUUUCAGUUGUGAGGAAAGGGUGUUGGUUAAUAGCCAACAUCUGUGACGUUAACAACAGAAGAAGCACCGGCUAACUUCGUGCCAGCAGCCGCGGUAAUACGAGGGGUGCAAGCGUUAAUCGGAAUUACUGGGCGUAAAGCGUUCGUAGGCGGUUUGUUAAGCAAGAUGUGAAAGCCCAGGGCUCAACCUCGGAACAGCAUUUUGAACUGGCAGACUAGAGUUCUGUAGAGGGGAGUAGAAUUUCA